This 480-nucleotide ribosomal RNA is filed under the name uncultured bacterium. RNAcentral describes it as "bacterial SSU rRNA". It matches the Rfam family "Bacterial small subunit ribosomal RNA", at positions 501 to 982 of the family's 1533-position model. The record is from RNAcentral.
CUACGUGCCAGCAGCCGCGGUAAUACGGAGGGUGCGAGCGUUAAUCGGAAUAACUGGGCGUAAAGGGCACGCAGGCGGUUAUUUAAGUGAGGUGUGAAAGCCCCGGGCUUAACCUGGGAAUUGCAUUUCAGACUGGGUAACUAGAGUACUUUAGGGAGGGGUAGAAUUCCACGUGUAGCGGUGAAAUGCGUAGAGAUGUGGAGGAAUACCGAAGGCGAAGGCAGCCCCUUGGGAAUGUACUGACGCUCAUGUGCGAAAGCGUGGGGAGCAAACAGGAUUAGAUACCCUGGUAGUCCACGCUGUAAACGCUGUCGAUUUGGGGAUUGGGCUUAAAGCUUGGUGCCCGUAGCUAACGUGAUAAAUCGACCGCCUGGGGAGUACGGCCGCAAGGUUAAAACUCAAAUGAAUUGACGGGGGCCCGCACAAGCGGUGGAGCAUGUGGUUUAAUUCGAUGCAACGCGAAGAACCUUACCUACUCUU